This 477-nucleotide ribosomal RNA is filed under the name uncultured organism. RNAcentral describes it as "partial 16S ribosomal RNA". It matches the Rfam family "Bacterial small subunit ribosomal RNA", at positions 332 to 800 of the family's 1533-position model. The record is from RNAcentral.
UACACUCCUACGGGAGGCAGCAGUGGGGAAUUUUGGACAAUGGGCGAAAGCCUGAUCCAGCAAUGCCGCGUGAGUGAAGAAGGCCUUCGGGUUGUAAAGCUCUUUUGUCAGGGAAGAAACGGUUAAAGCUAAUAUCUUUUGCUAAUGACGGUACCUGAAGAAUAAGCACCGGCUAACUACGUGCCAGCAGCCGCGGUAAUACGUAGGGUGCAAGCGUUAAUCGGAAUUACUGGGCGUAAAGCGUGCGCAGGCGUUUUUGUAAGUCUGAUGUGAAAUCCCCGGGCUCAACCUGGGAAUUGCAUUGGAGACUGCAAGGCUAGAAUCUGGCAGAGGGGGGUAGAAUUCCACGUGUAGCAGUGAAAUGCGUAGAUAUGUGGAGGAACACCGAUGGCGAAGGCAGCCCCCUGGGUCAAGAUUGACGCUCAUGCACGAAAGCGUGGGGAGCAAACAGGAUUAGAAACCCGAGUAGUCCCAUGA